Molecule: ribosomal RNA, 216 nt
Filed under: Glomeromycotina sp.
Lineage: Eukaryota; Fungi; Glomeromycota
Description: partial small subunit ribosomal RNA
Rfam family: Eukaryotic small subunit ribosomal RNA (bases 40-216)
Source: RNAcentral
GGGUCAGUAGGUUGGUCGUGCCACCGGUACGUACUGGUCUCACUGAUUCCUCCUUCCUGAAGAACCGUAAUGCCAUCAAUUUGGUGUUGCGGGGAAACAGGACUGUUACUUUGAAAAAAUUAGAGUGUUUAAAGCAAGCUAAUGCUUGAAUACAUUAGCAUGGAAUAAUGAAAUAGGACGAUCGAUCCUAUUUUGUUGGUUUCUAGGAUUGACGUA